RNAcentral lists this ribosomal RNA (252 nucleotides) under uncultured bacterium. RNAcentral's name for it is "partial 16S ribosomal RNA". It matches the Rfam family "Bacterial small subunit ribosomal RNA", at positions 524 to 776 of the family's 1533-position model. The record is from RNAcentral.
UACGUAGGGAGCAAGCGUUAUCCGGAUUUAUUGGGCGUAAAGCGCGCGUAGGCGGCUUGUUAAGCAAGAUUUUUAACCUGGGGGCUCAACCCUCAGCAGGAUUUUGAACUGGCAGGCUCGAGUAUGGUAGAGGAAAGUGGAAUUCCCGGUGUAGUGGAGGAAUACGCAGAUAUCGGGAAGAACACCGAUGGCGAAGGCAGCUUUCUGGGCCAAUACUGACGCUGAGGUGCGAAAGCUAGGGGAGCGAACAGG